GCUAAUGCUGGCUUCCAUUGCAAUUAUAUGUUCUGUUGCAUUCAAAAAACAAUUGAAUAACCAAAAACAGAAAAGAGGACCCAAUAGGAAGUGGAUUCAGCAUAGAGAGAAUCGAGGUGUCAUGAACACUUUGGUAGAAGUUUAGAUAAUGUGAAUUUUUCUUCCUAUAUAAAUUUUAUUAUUGUAUUAUUCAAAUUUUUGAUUCAAAUUACAUCAUUAAGUGUAAAAAUGAAUAAAAUUUGGUUUAAAAUAUCAAAAUUUAUUUAAUAAACAUAGAUCAUCUGACAAACUUUAUGAAAAUAAACAAUGAGAAACUUUAUUAUCAAUAUAUACACAAUUAAUUUUAAAAUAAUUUCAUUUAUAUAUUAUUUUGAAAUUCCUUUUUUAAAUGGCCUGAAACCAACUGAUGUAUUUCCAUCAUUGUAGUUUGCCUUUCAGUUAAAGGCAAUUCCCUAAGCAUUUCAGCUAUGUUAGCCAAAAAGCCACUAAUGCCAUCAUUUGGAUUUGAAUUGUACUUUGAGCAGAUCUUUUCCGUUAAUGCAGAAGCAUUCCUCAUUACAUCUGUGCAUAAGUUCUUUGAUUUUGUGCUUUUAGCUGACACAGAUAAUGUUUGGGUUUCAGGAAUAUCAAUGCUAUUAUUACUGCUGUUAUCUACUGUGACAGCUACCGAAAAGAAAUCAAAAAGAUCAUUGUUGAAUGUUAUAAGUUGACAAAUUAUGGCCAGUUAGAUUUUGUUAUAUUAUUAUAGUUAAAUAUACAAGUACUUACAUCCUGGAAAGGUUCUAACAAAAAUGAGUCUAUACUUUCAUCACAGAUGAUGUCAUUUAAAAAAGCC
This 835-nucleotide long non-coding RNA is filed under the name Androctonus crassicauda. Lineage: Eukaryota; Metazoa; Arthropoda; Arachnida; Scorpiones; Buthidae. The record is from RNAcentral.